CCAAUUCCUGUCUCGUCCAUCACCACAUUGAAGACGGUUGGUCAGCCAGAGAGAGAUGGAGAGUGAGAUCUGGAUCCUUCAGUGAAUCCUGCAGCCGGUACUCAGGAAGUUCCUGACUCAAUAGACUUCCCAACUGCUGUGUGUCUCAUCCAUCACCUUAUUGUAGAUGGUUGGUCAGCCAGAGAGACAAAGGGCAGAGAGAUCUGGAACCUUCAAUAAAUCCUGCAGUGAGGUAAUCAGGAUGUUCCUCACUCGUGUCUCAUCCAUCACCUCAUUGAAGCUGGUUGGUCAACCCAAGUGAGAGAGGUGGA
Molecule: long non-coding RNA, 311 nt
Organism: Hemiscyllium ocellatum (epaulette shark)
Lineage: Eukaryota; Metazoa; Chordata; Chondrichthyes; Orectolobiformes; Hemiscylliidae
Exons: 3
Source: RefSeq, a predicted model, not a curated record